Molecule: ribosomal RNA, 241 nt
Filed under: uncultured bacterium
Lineage: Bacteria
Description: partial 16S ribosomal RNA
Rfam family: Bacterial small subunit ribosomal RNA
Source: RNAcentral
AGAGUGGCGGACGGGUGAGUAACGCGUGGGAAUCUGCCCUGUAGUGGGGGACAACCCGGGGAAACCCGGGCUAAUACCGCAUACGACCUACGGGAGAAAGGGGGCCUCUGCUUGCAAGCUCUCGCUAUAGGAAGAGCCCGCGUCCGAUUAGCUAGUUGGUAGGGUAAAGGCCUACCAAGGCGACGAUCGGUAGCUGGUCUGAGAGGAUGACCAGCCACACUGGGACUGAGACACGGCCCAG